The sequence is a ribosomal RNA, 405 nucleotides long. It matches the Rfam family "Bacterial small subunit ribosomal RNA", at positions 355 to 774 of the family's 1533-position model.
UGGGGAAUAUUGCGCAAUGGGGGAAACCCUGACGCAGCAACGCCGCGUGAAGGAUGAAGGCCCUCGGGUUGUAAACUUCUUUGAUUGGGGAAGAAAAAAAUGACGGUACCCAAAAAACAAGCCACGGCUAACUACGUGCCAGCAGCCGCGGUAAUACGUAGGUGGCAAGCGUUAUCCGGAAUUACUGGGUGUAAAGGGCGUGUAGGCGGGACGUUAAGUCAGAUGUGAAAUUCCGAAGCUCAACUUCGGCGCUGCAUCUGAAACUAAUGUUCUUGAGUGAUGGAGAGGAAAGUGGAAUUCCUAGUGUAGCGGUGAAAUGCGUAGAUAUUAGGAGGAACACCAGUGGCGAAGGCGACUUUCUGGACAUUAACUGACGCUGAGGCGCGAAAGCGUGGGGAGCAAACA